Molecule: long non-coding RNA, 1013 nt
Filed under: Zea mays
Lineage: Eukaryota; Viridiplantae; Streptophyta; Magnoliopsida; Poales; Poaceae
Description: long non-coding RNA (ZMAY_LNC002953)
Source: RNAcentral
GCCAGGGUUAAGCCAGAAGGCUCGCGCGCGUACCUCCGAUACCGAAUCACAUGCCGAGACGUGACUCCUAAGUCCUAAGCCCGCCGAAUAAUUAGAGCUUGCCGCUGAAGGAACUGAUGAAUAGCUUCCCAGCAACUCAGAGCCUCCCUGUCCCAUCAUCCUCCUCUUUCACCCAAGAGCGAAGUUAAUCACAGAUAAAUCUGGAAGCUUCUUUCUUGGGAGGAAAGAGACAGCACUGCCCUGGCUCUGCGCUGUGUGCCUGGGAGGACCAUCCCAGCUGCUAGCUGCAGCAAACCUCCAAGGUUGUUCUUGUCCAGGCCGGGUCGGGACCCGUCAUUGGCUCGACGUGGUAUCCUUUUUCCUUUGCCCACUGUUGGUCCCUCCACAAUUCCUGCCCUUGUGCGGUUGUACAAAAGCUGUAUGGUGCGCAACACUGGCCUUUUGAAGCAGCAACUGUCCAGCAAGUGAAGGCUUAGGACCGGCUGCUGAAAACAAUGCUCCAACGCCCACCACGACUCUGCUGAAAACAAUUCACCAAGCUCAAAAAUUGGCUUCGGUCUCCAAGUGAUUGCUGUCUUGGACACCUCUGAAGUUUCAGACUCACAGAAUUUGGUCGUACCAAAAAAUGAGGAUAUCCUGUCCUGCCCGUGUGACCACCAGAGCAGAGCUGUGAGUUUCCUUCUGGCCAGAUUAAAGUGCUAUUCCUCAGUGUUAUCAUGGUCUUACCGCAAAGAUUCCCCGUGGUUUCACAAAAGGUACCGUCACCUAAAGCACACACUUGAGUAGUAACAGCCGCAGGGCAUUACAACUCUUCCAGAUAUCCAUUUAAGCAAUCAGUAACAGCCGCUGGCGACAUGUACAGUUCCUCCCUUGCAUCUCCAAGCUGAGUUCAAUAGGGUAACAAUAACAAUAAUAGAAUGGCAAGCUGUCCGAAUAUUCGAACCUCGAAGCUGAGUGCAAGGUAGCUUUCACUGUGCCACGACCACGACGAUGACUGCCAAUCAGAACAUGAU